GCCUCCUGCCGUCACGCUGGGGUUGAGACCUCACUGAGCCCCCUCCUCCACGGCCGGCUCCUGACGGCCCGAGCAACCAAAGACGGCGGGCGCCCCCGUGGGCAAGGUGCAGGACGGUCCGGACGUGCCUGAUGGAAAUCCUCUAUUAGUUCCCAGGAGAGGACAUCCCGGGCCGGGACCCAUGACCGUUUUUCAGGGCCAUAUCCUUCCCAAUCCACCAGGUAAUGGAGGCCGUCCCGUAGCCGUUUGGAAUCCAGCACAGCCGUGAUAGCGUAUGCCGGAACUCCAUCUAUCUCCAGCGGGGAGGGUGGAGUCGGGGUUGGCCGAGAUGGAUGAAGAGGGCUAGCAUGGACAGGCUUCAGAAGGGAUACGUGAAAUGCUGAGGAGAUACAAUAAUGUUGGGGUAAAAGCAGUCGGUAGGUUACCGGGUUGAUGCGAUGGGUGAUCUUGAACGGCCCGAUGUAUUGCGGCCAGAGAUUCCGGCAGGGCAGACGCAGCUUCAAGUCCCUCGUAGACAGCCACACCCGCUGACCCGGUUGGUAGAUGGGAUCGGGCCGUUGUCGCCGGUCUGCGAACAUCUUCUGCGUGCAGGCAGCCUGGCGGAGGUGACGAUGGGCGGUCUCCCAUACCUUGCCACUGCGCCUGAACCAGUCCUCCACGGCUGGCACUGGACCGGGCAUAGUAUCCCAGGGAAAAAACGGGGGCUGGUACCCCAAUACACACUGAAAAGGUGUUAGUCGUAAUGACGAGCGGAACAUAGAGUUCUGGGCAUAUUCCUCCCAGGCCACGUAACGGGACCAAUCAUGUGGAUGCUGAGAGCAGUAACUGCGAAGGUACUUCCCCAGUUCCUGAUUGAGUCUUUCGGUUUGGCCGUUGGUCUCCGGAUCAUACCCGGACGUCAGCUUCACCUUUAUCCCCAGGCAGUUGCAGAAUGCCCUCCAGACGUGGGACAUCUCUUCUGGAAGACCAAACUGACGGAACACUGGAGAAAACGACACUCCGCCAUUUCCAUGGCUGAGGGGAGGUUAGGCAGAGGUAUAAAUCUACACAUUUUGGAGAACCUGUCUAUCAAGACUAGAAUGGUGGUAAACCCUUCGGACACCGGUAAGUCAGUGAGGAAGUCCACCGCCACAUGGGACCACGGCCUCUGGGGAGUGGGAAGCGGCACCAACUCCCCGGCGGGGAGCUGACGGGGAGUUUUUGCUUGCGCACAGACUGGACAGGAGAGCACGUAGUCCUGCACGUCGGUGGCUAGCGAGUUCCACCAGUACUUCUGGGACAAGAGCCGAGUGGUUCGGGUAAUGCCCGGAUGUCCGAAUCCCAACGUUGUGUGGCUCCACUGGACGUGCUGAGGCCGCACUGACGCGGGGACGUAAGUCCGGUUGGGAGGUGCGUCAGGUGGCGCCGGUUCUGUGCGCAGCGCCUCCUGGAUGAAGGACUCAAGCUUCCAGUAAAUAGAUUUGCUGGGUGGCGCUUGGACAUAAUUCCCACUUAGUGGACCAUGUGUCAUGAUUAUAGCUUGUUCCAGCUCACAUGAAUCUUAGCUGCAUCAGGGGACAACAGAUAACAAAAUGACAACUCAAUCUCUAUAGGGUUCUGCCCCCCUGGGCCUUCAACAAGGUUAACAAGGCUCAUCCUCUUUCACAGGAAUAGAUGAUUACAGGCCCUUCGCCCUGUCUGACUUCUGUGCUCAUGAAAUCCUUUGAGAGGCUGGUGUGGACCCUGCAGAACGUCACAGUGCCCCUGGUGGACUUUAGCGCUGCUUUCAACACCAUCAUCCUGUCUCUGCUGCAGGAAAACUCCCAGCUGCACGUGCCCGACUCCACCUGCAAGUGGGCCACGGUGGCGCACAGAGUAGAGAUGCUGUUUAAAGAUUGGUGGUUCAAACCCCGACUCAGUGUCCCUGAGCAAGACCCCUAAUUGCUCCCUGGGCAAAAAUGUCAACCCCGUGGGAUAAAAUCUAAUGUAAGUCGCUUUGGAUAAAAGCGUCAGCUAAUUGACACGUAAUAUAAAAGUGGAUCACAGACUUCCUGUCUGACAGGAAGCAGAAGCAGACCAUAGGCACCAGUUCCCCCAAAGGCUGUGUUCUUUUCCCUGACACCACCCUCAUUGGACUGAUCUCUGGUGGGGAUGAGUCCGCCUACAGGUGGAGUCUGACCAUCUGGUGUCCUGGUGCAGCCAGAACAACCUGGAGCUCAACGCUCUAAAGACAGUGGAGAUGGUUGGGGAUUUCGGGCGGAACAGAGCCCCACCCUCCCCCAUCACCCUGUGUGACUCCCCCGUCACUAUUGUGGAUUCCUUCCAUUUCCUGGGCUCCAUCAUCACCCAGGACCUCAAGUGGGAGCUGAACAUCAGCUCCAUCACCAAGAAGGCUCAGCAGAGGUUGUUCUUCCUGAGGCAGCUGAAGAAACUCAACCUGCCAAAGACGAUGAUGGUCCACUUCUACACGGCCAUCAUGGAGUCCAUCCUCUGCUCCUCCAUCACCGUCUGGUACGCUGCAGCCACAGCCAAGGACAAGGGCAGGGUGCAGUGUGUCCUCCGCUCUGCAGAGAGGGUGAUCGGCUGCAAUCUGCCGUC
Gasterosteus aculeatus aculeatus (three-spined stickleback) is the source of this 2577-nucleotide long non-coding RNA. Lineage: Eukaryota; Metazoa; Chordata; Actinopteri; Perciformes; Gasterosteidae. The record is from Ensembl.